Molecule: long non-coding RNA, 965 nt
Organism: Selaginella moellendorffii
Lineage: Eukaryota; Viridiplantae; Streptophyta; Lycopodiopsida; Selaginellales; Selaginellaceae
Exons: 2
Source: RefSeq, a predicted model, not a curated record
CAUCUUUGCAGAGUGAGAGAUCUUUGUGAAUUUCUGGCCGAAUGUCUGCUACUUUUUGUCAAAGAAGUUUUGUUUUCUGUUUUUUUCCUUUUCUUACAGUUGUCCUUGGUUUGGCAUAUUUCUUCUUCACUUCCUUUUGGCAUUGAGUAUAUCAAUUGCCGAAACUAAAAUCUCUGUAUGAUUCUUGGUUUGCAGCUUGAUAAUGGUUUUUUAACUUCCCCUUUCUAAAGUUGUCAGCUUUUUAGUGAUUUUGUCUUGAUCCCUGCCUGAGUGUGAUGCUCUCUGCUUUUAGAAUUCAAGCAGUCAACUUUGCAGUGUUUUGUUUCUUCUUUUUUAUUUUGCGCUGUUAAGCACUAGAAUCACUGCCAUGCCUGGCUGAUAAUUGCUUGUGAGUACUUCUUUAGUUUUCUUUCCUCGUUUCCUCAUAGCUUUGCUAAAGCUGUUACAACUUUUCAGUGCUCCAUGCUCCAAAGGCUCAUGUUUCAGCGCGAUACAGCUUUGAAAACUCCAAACGCGUGCCCGAAGUAGUCCUGGUGGAUACCGAUGGCUUACUCCCGGACCAGAAAAACGUCUCCGAGACUUCAAUCGCAAACCAAAACGCAAACCAAAACAGGCCUCAUCCUUGAAAAAACUGGAACUGGCACACUAUAAAUGAUCUUGCUGGAAACAUUUGCGAGAAAAGAGGAGAGAGGAGAUCUGCUGGCCCUGGCAACUCGGUUCUUUCUUCUUGUGGUGUGGAGGAAAGGAAGACCAGGUUUCAGCUUUUAGUUCUGAAAGAUCAAAGCUAUACCACCACUCAUAUGUGGAGAGUGACAUUUUGUGGAACGUAAGCUUAAAGGCUUCUGGAAUUGUCUAACCAAUUCACGGUGACAUUUUGUGGAACGUAAGCUUAAAGGCUUCUGGAAUUGUCUAACCAAUUCACGGUGACAUAAUUGCAGCUGACGAAUCUUUUCUUCACACAGACA